Molecule: non-coding RNA, 30 nt
Filed under: Mus musculus (house mouse)
Lineage: Eukaryota; Metazoa; Chordata; Mammalia; Rodentia; Muridae
Source: RNAcentral
UUCCUAAAUGGCUUUGGCCGUCACAGUAAU